RNAcentral lists this ribosomal RNA (439 nucleotides) under Lecidea sp. RNAcentral describes it as "partial large subunit ribosomal RNA". It matches the Rfam family "Eukaryotic large subunit ribosomal RNA", at positions 132 to 499 of the family's 3401-position model. Lineage: Eukaryota; Fungi; Ascomycota; Lecanoromycetes; Lecideales; Lecideaceae. The record is from RNAcentral.
CGGGGCCCGAGUUGUAAUUUGUAGAGGAUGUUUCGGGUGCGGCGCCGGUCUAAGUUCCUUGGAACAGGACGUCAUAGAGGGUGAGAAUCCCGUAUGCGACCGGCGAUCAACCCCAUGUGAAACCCCUUCGACGAGUCGAGUUGUUUGGGAAUGCAGCUCAAAAUGGGUGGUAAAUUUCAUCUAAAGCUAAAUACUGGCCAGAGACCGAUAGCGCACAAGUAGAGUGAUCGAAAGAUGAAAAGCACUUUGGAAAGAGAGUCAAACAGUACGUGAAAUUGUUGAAAGGGAAGCGCUUGCAACCAGACCUGCCCCUGGGCGAUCAGCCGUUAUUCUUAGCGGUGCACUCGUCCUUGUUCAGGCCAGCAUCGGUUCGGGCGGCCGGAUAAAGGCCCCGGGAAUGUAGCUCCCUUCGGGGAGUCUUAUAGCCCGGGGUGCAAUG